Molecule: ribosomal RNA, 492 nt
Filed under: uncultured bacterium
Lineage: Bacteria
Description: partial 16S ribosomal RNA
Rfam family: Bacterial small subunit ribosomal RNA
Source: RNAcentral
AGUGGACGCUGGCGGUAGGCCUAACACAUGCAAGUCGAACGGCAGCACAGUAAGAGCUUGCUCUUACGGGUGGCGAGUGGCGGACGGGUGAGGAAUACAUCGGAAUCUACUUUUUCGUGGGGGAUAACGUAGGGAAACUUACGCUAAUACCGCAUACGACCUACGGGUGAAAGCAGGGGAUCUUCGGACCUUGCGCGAUUGAAUGAGCCGAUGUCGGAUUAGCUAGUUUGCGGGGUAAAGGCCCACCAAGGCGACGAUCCGUAGCUGGUCUGAGAGGAUGAUCAGCCACACUGGAACUGAGACACGGUCCAGACUCCUACGGGAGGCAGCAGUGGGGAAUAUUGGACAAUGGGCGCAAGCCUGAUCCAGCCAUACCGCGUGGGUGAAGAAGGCCUUCGGGUUGUAAAGCCCUUUUGUUGGGAAAGAAAAGCAGCAGGUUAAUACCCCGCUGUUCUGACGGUACCCAAAGAAUAAGCACCGGCUAACUUCGUG